GGCAUGACGUCAACAUAACCACCAUGAUUUCGAACCACCCCAGCAUGUACUGCUGCUCUGCAGAUACUGGACAGCUGAGGCAACAAGGGAAAACCCACCGUUAUUAGGAAAUUCCUGCUGAACUUGUCCAGUCUACUCUUCUGUUGGACCAAAGUCACUGGCACCUGUCUCUAUACAGAUAGUCAGCAGUUACAGGUUGAUGUUCUGUGCAUAAAGGAAUGUUGCAAAAGUCACAGAGUUAAAGCCAAUUCUGAGCAAGUCUGAAAGCAGAUCUCAAGGGUGGCCACAAUGGUAAACUCCCAUCACCGUUUAAUCUAACAAACACUUGCCUUUCCAAACAUCAGGCUUUUUCUAUAGUGGAAGUAAGUAAUCAGAUACAAAUUUGCUCUUUUUAUCUCUUUUUUAAAUGUUUAUUUUUGAGAGAGAGACAGAGAGAGAGAGAGAGAGAAGAGAGAGAGAGAGAGAGAGAGAGAGAGAGAGCAUGAGCAGGAAGGGGUAGAGAAAGAGGGAGACACAGAAUCCAAAGCAGGCUCCAGGCUCUGAGCUGUCAGCACAGAGCCCAACAUGGGCUCAAACUCAUGAACUGUGAGACCAUGACCUGAGCCAAAGUUGGAAGCUUGACCAACAGACCUACCCAGGCAUCCCUGCUCCUUUUAUCACUUAAAUUCUAGCUCUUGCUAGUCACUCUGACCAAAUGUUAACAGGUUACAUUAUCUGUACUUGGUUUAUGUUCAUUUUUGUCUUAUUAACAGAUAAUAGUUCUGUAUACCUUUACAGUUCCCUUUCCAAAAUACAGGUGUGUAUUAAGUGGGGAGUUUUCUUCUAUUAAAUAUUAUAGCCUACACAGAGAAAAUUUAACCAUGAAGCAAAAUAUAAAGAACAAUCACAGCUUCCAACCUAUAUCUGCAAUGUCUAUCACCUUGGUUUGAAUGGUCUGACAUGAGGCACUAUGUUUACAUUGUACCAGUUAUACCUUCUUAAUUGAACUGGAGUUCUACAGAAGAGAAAAUUAUUGUUUCAGGUCCAUGUUUUUAAAACCAUUACCUACGGACUUCUAAAAGUUGACUUUUUUUUUUUUUUUAUUUUGCCCCAUUCAAGACUUCUCCAGAUUUUAACAUUUGCUUUAAUCCUAAUGUUCUACCAAAAUUUGUCAAUAGCUGAAUACAGCCUGAGGAAAUCCCACAAAAUGAAACACUUGAACUGUUUCUGUAUGAAACAAUCCCCCCUCAUAUCCCAGGGGUCUUUUCUGAUCGUACUAGUGUGUUCUAUUUUUCUCUCUAUGCACAUGUGAGUGACUUAAUGUGCUUUUUUAAGUUCACAUAAGCAUGUGCAUCUUACAUGACCUUGCUUUAUUACUGUGCUCUGAACUUUGUGGCAUCAGUCAGAACUUAUUAGAUCAGAGAGCCUGAAUGCCAAGCUGUUUAAUCCUUUUCAUGCUUUUGCUAUACCAAAAAAUACCAUAUAUCUAAAACCUCGUAUCGUUACUCCAAAGAGGCAUUUUAUUCACAGUUUAAAGUUCCUCACUGAUUUAAUAUUUGUAUCCAAUAUGGUUCAUAACAGAUGAAAUUAAAAAUAGUUCUGUACGCGUUUCAGUAUUUAUCUUGCUCUGUUAAAAGAGUAUUAUCAGCAUUUUCCCCAAGGCAUAAAAGUGCUUACAUAUAACAUUCACUAAAUCCAAGCACUUAAUAUGUUUUGAAACUAUUGUUUUGCCCAUAACUACGCAGUCAGCAGGCAUUCCUAUUUGAGUUCAAAGGUCAGAAGAGAUUUUCUUUUUAUACCCGUACUUUGUAAGAAUUAACAUAUCACGAAAAAAAGAAUUUAUCUGUGAAAACAGUGGAACACUUUUAAUGAAUGCAGAAAUUAACUUUACUUGUAACAAAUGAGAAAAAUUCAAAGCAAUAAAAUGUACAAGUAGUAAUGGAAAGAAACAGAGAGAGAGAAAGGUGGAGGGGUUGAGGGAGAGAGAAGAUAUUUUUCCAUAUCUUGUAUUUAAAGAAAUAAUAUAUUUUGUGUGUUGGGGGGGAGGGGGAGUUUGGUAGUUAAUGCUUGAAUCUCUGAAUCUGCACUGACCACAUAAUAGUAGUCCUUGCAUUUCCAACUAACUCUUAAAAUGAUUUAUACAAUCAUUUCCUAUACAUAAUUGCCUAUGCAGUCCGAUAAGGUAGGAAGAUAAAAUGAUCUCAAGACACAAAGUCUAACAAAACCUAAACUCUAGAAAAAUAGACGGCCUAUAGGUAUAAGAGGGUAUAGGAUAUUAUGAAAGAUUUUCACCGGGCAUGAUUAAAAUUUAAAGUUUGGUGCUUAAAUGGACAAUCUAAAAAGAAUAACUUCUUCUGAAAUCUUUGAAGAUUCUAGAUAGGCUUAUUCAUAUACAUUUAUGGAUUUAUUUCUUCAACAAAUAUUUAUGUGCAAGGUAUUUGCUACAUUUCUGAUAUCACUGUGUGCUCUAAGUUUUGUUAAGGCAGGAUAUAAUUCUGUCUUGUUCACAGGUUGGCAUACAUCAAACUGUUAAUAAAAAAUGACGCUCCAAUUGCCUGGCUGUUGCCCUCAUGGAACUUCAAAAUAAUAAAAGAGAUAGAGAAAUAGUCAUAACACUAACAGAAUCAGGUAAGUGCUAAAAGUAAAAAAAAAAAAUAAAGUUCUAGGGGUUGAAAGAAGGGCUAUGUAAUACAUGUAGUAGGAGAUCCAGCAAAAGACUCCACAGAGAAAGUGGCAAUAAAUUAGGACAUGAAGAAUGACCAUGAUUUUAACAGACAGGAAGGUAAGUAAAGCAUGAGGACUAAUAAAUUAUUAUACCAGCAGGACAUUUAAGCUGCAAAUAAGUACAGGGCAAAGCUGAACCCUGGGAGGGACUCAGAUGUGGAGAACAAUUGCAAAGGUAAAUCUGAAUGAAAACAAACCCUGGACUUUAAUGAACUCACCAACAGAAAUAAGGUGGUAAAUACUAUUUCAGGUCUCUUUUUACAAACCUAUUUCCAUGGUAUUCUACUGAAUAUGUGCUUCAAGAGUAUAUUUCCUGAAUUUGUUUUUGCAACUCUCUGGCUUAGAAAUUUGUAACGGUUUCUAAAUGUCUGCCACAUAAAAUCUAAACUCAUCAACAUGCAUUCAGACUCUCCAUUUACAUGUUUCAAGAGCUGGAUACCCCACCCCUCACACAAAAUUGGCUGCAACCCCUUUUAGAUUCAAUGCUCACCUGCUCAAAGAUAAGCAAACCUAUGUGUUAUGCAUACAUCUCGCUUGCUGUCAUCUCCCCGUUCUUGUA
Molecule: long non-coding RNA, 3262 nt
Filed under: Lynx pardinus (Iberian lynx)
Lineage: Eukaryota; Metazoa; Chordata; Mammalia; Carnivora; Felidae
Source: RNAcentral